AUGACAUCACUCAAGGUACUUGAUUUGUCAUUCAACCAUCUGAAUAGGACUGAAAACCUUAUGACCGUUCUUGAAAAUCUUUGCUGUUUGGAAAUCCUCAACCUCUCUAUCAAUUCUAUGAAUGGGGAUAUAGUGGAGGUGAUGGAGGGGUUACCGCGAUGCGCAUGGGGAAAAUUGUCAGAGCUGCAUUUCCAUCAAAACGAAUUCAUUGGGACCCUGCCAAAUUUUAUAGGGCAAUUUAGCAGCUUGAGCAUACUUGACCUGUCUAGCAACAAUCUUGUUGGAUUUCUACCACCAGGGACUUGGAAUUUGGCGCAUUUAACUGACCUUGAUAUCAGCCUGAAUCAGCUCAAUGGGAAUGUACCAACUGAAAUUGGUGCCCUUACUGCUCUGACUUCUUUGGACAUAAGCGGCAACAACUUGACCGGAAGUAUACCAGCCGAGCUUGGUUCUCUCAAGAUUCUGGAUUAUCUGGACCUAAGCAACAACAACCUUAGUGGUCUGAUCACAGAAGAACACUUUGCAAACCUAAAAAGUUUAAACUCCAUAGACUUGUCUUCCAAUAACUUGAAGAUUGUAGUGGAUUCAGAUUGGCAUUCUCUGUUUAGGCUACAAUAUGCAGAUUUUCGAUCUUGCCAGAUCGGUCCUCUCUUUCCAGCUUGGCUUCAGCAGCUGCGGGGGAUCACUAAACUUUACAUUUCGAGCACUGGUUUGGACGACAAGUUUCCUGAUUGGUUUUGGUAUACAUUUUCACAGACAUUACAUCUCGACAUCUCUAACAACCAAAUAAGUGGCAGCUUGCCAGCACACCUGGAUGGUAUGGCUUUGGAAACUCUUUCUCUAACAUCAAACCAGCUCACCGGGUCAAUACCUUCAUUGCUGGCAAAUAUCACUGCGUUAGACAUCUCCAACAAUAACUUUUCAGGAAUAAUACCAUCAAAUUUUGAAGCCUCCCAACUUGAACUAUUGAUUGUCUAUUCAAAUCGAAUUGUUGGGUCCAUUCCAGAACCUGUUUGCAAAUUGCAACAACUGUUUUAUCUGGAUUUGUCAAACAAUUUUUUGGAGGGUGAAAUUCCUCAGUGUUUUGACAUCCAAAAACUACAGUAUUUCGUGCUCAGUAACAACAGUUUAUCAGGAAAGUUCCCUGCAUUUUUGCAGAAUAACACAAAUAUGGAGUUCUUGGAUCUUGCAUGGAACAAGUUGUCUGGAAGAUUGCCUACAUGGAUUGGAGAUCUGGGGAAUUUAGGUUUUGUACUCCUGAGCCACAAUGCAUUUUCUGAUAGUAUUCCAGUCGACAUAACAAUGCUUAAGUAUCUUCAAUACCUGGAUCUAUCAAGCAAUAAUUUUUCUGGUGCAGUACCUUGGCAUCUGUCAAACUUAACAUUUAUGACAAAGGUAAAUAUGGAUUUUGUGGAAAUGUAUCGAGUCAUGGGAUACAAAAUGAUCGUGAUGGAACCUGGUCUAUUCGGAGAUAUAUUUUCAGUGGUUACAAAAGGACAACAACUUGUGUAUGGUAAAACACUUGCAGAUUUUGUAAGCAUUGAUUUAUCAAGCAACUCCUUGACUGGUGAAAUCCCUGGAGACAUCACUUUCCUUGUUGCACUGAUGAAUUUGAAUUUAUCAUCAAACAAAUUGAGUGGACAAAUUCCAAACAUGAUUGGGGCCAUGCAGUCACUGGUAUCUCUUGACCUCUCUGGGAACAAGCUCUCCGGUGGAAUCCCGUCCAGCUUGUCAAGUCUAACAUCUUUGGAGGCCUUGAACCUAUCCUACAACAAUUUAUCUGGAAGGAUACCCUCUGGCCGCCAACUUGACACCCUCAAUUUGGACAACCCGUCAAUUAUGUACAUCGGCAACAGUGGACUUUGUGGGCCUCCUCUCCACAACAAUUGUUCAGGAAAUGGUACUUCUAUCGAUGGUGAUCUCGGAAGCAGCAAGCAAGAGUUUGAUCCACUGACCUUUCAUUUUGGUUUUGUGCUGGGACUUGUGGCGGGGCUCUGGAUAGUGUUUUGUGCACUGUUGUUCAAGGGGACAUGGAGAAUUGCUUUUUUCCGGUGA
RNAcentral lists this ribosomal RNA (2055 nucleotides) under Triticum aestivum (bread wheat). RNAcentral describes it as "partial small subunit ribosomal RNA". Lineage: Eukaryota; Viridiplantae; Streptophyta; Magnoliopsida; Poales; Poaceae. The record is from RNAcentral.